AAAUGAUGGAAAGGACAUAAUUUUG
This 25-nucleotide non-coding RNA is filed under the name Mus musculus (house mouse). Lineage: Eukaryota; Metazoa; Chordata; Mammalia; Rodentia; Muridae. The record is from RNAcentral.